CCAAAAAUAGGGUGCUUAGCUACUCAUGUUUGAACUCAUCAUCCAAAAUAAGUAAUUAAUCAUACCCAAAACAAGUCUUGAAGUUAAAAAAUUGAAAAGAAUGUCUAAGAACCCUAAAAGAGAGAAAUUUUUUCUUUUUCGCCACUGCUAUCUUUUCCCAAAAGUCCCCCAAAAUUAUAUUGGAUUUUCCUUUUAUAGCCAGGACAAAACACUUACAAUCUUCCCAAUUUUUCCACACAGCGCGUUGUGCCAUGCCUUCAAUUACUAUUUUCCAUAAAAAUCUAGGCAAUCGCGAAGCUUAAGUAUUCCUUGAAAUAUGUAAAAUGCACCCUUACCGCAAUGCGUCACUAUCGCGGUGAGCCGCUGGAUUUGCACAAUUAUGAAAUAUCCAUCCUCCGCGAUGCACUAAACUUCUAGUUCGCAUAAUUUGAUAAGUGGAACGGCUCUGUGAUGCAGUGGUUUCGCGGACCUAUA
Molecule: long non-coding RNA, 474 nt
Filed under: Capsicum annuum
Lineage: Eukaryota; Viridiplantae; Streptophyta; Magnoliopsida; Solanales; Solanaceae
Description: long non-coding RNA (CANN_LNC012860)
Source: RNAcentral